AAUCCAGUCACCUUCUCGGAGUGAAUUGGUCUUAGAGUGCAAUGGUAGAAGGGAGUUUGACUGUAAGAUCCACCCAUCGAACAAGAACGAAAAUCGAUAUUAGU
This 104-nucleotide ribosomal RNA is filed under the name Olea europaea subsp. europaea. RNAcentral describes it as "PK-G12rRNA". The record is from RNAcentral. Lineage: Eukaryota; Viridiplantae; Streptophyta; Magnoliopsida; Lamiales; Oleaceae.